This 1929-nucleotide long non-coding RNA is filed under the name Salmo salar (Atlantic salmon). RNAcentral describes it as "lncRNA (ENSSSAG00000096282.1, ENSSSAG00000108806.1, ENSSSAG00075032476.1)". The record is from RNAcentral. Lineage: Eukaryota; Metazoa; Chordata; Actinopteri; Salmoniformes; Salmonidae.
CAGAGGAUGGAGUUAACGACUGGACGGUUUAUUAACCCAAUUUAACACAGGCUACUGUUUGGCCGUAGCCCACGCCAAACCAACCGUGAACUUCUCUUGUGAAGCCCAGACGUAAGAGAGAGAACAAUGGCUAAACCCGGUCUUAACUUCCAAUGCUCCAUCCCCCUGCCCAACCCCCCUCCACCAACCACCAGGCUACCCGGUAUCAGAACAUUCCAGGCAUUCCCGUGAUUGGCAGAUAGCAGGUUGAUUGGCAUGACCCCGCGAACACUGGCACAGCAGGCAACGGAUUGCACACAGCAGAGCUGGGGACAGAUAGGCAGGGACAGACUGGCAGAGACAGGGAGUCUCAGGAGACAGACUGUGAGUCAGUGAGGGUGGUGAAAGGGAAAGAGCCAGGGAGAGAGACUUCAGAUGACAGUGUCACAGCCAGGGCAAGGACCAGCUGUCAACCUUGUUGCCAGCAGCACCAGUAUAGGGGACAGUGGCACAGCAUUGUCCAGUUAUGCUUUUGUGCCAUCACUGAGGUAUCACCCACAAUUUAUAGAACCGCAAACUCUUGUCAACGGAGUGUUGAUGUUUCAAGAAAAAUGGUUUCGCCUGGCUACAUUUCCGCUGGCUACAUUAUAAUCCAUCAAGAAAAGGAGUGUUGUGUUUUCACUGUAGCCAAGGGUUUUCAAGCCAGCCAUCUUUUGGCCAAAGAGCAGAUGCUGCCUUCAUUAGUGCGGCAUGUAGCAAGACAGAGACAAGCCUUUAGAGGCCACAUGAAUGACAGUGGGAAUUUAUACCAGCUUUUGAAACGUAGGGCAGAAGAGGAUGAUCCCAUUUUACUGAAGUGGUUAACAGAGUGUACCACAAUGUACACAGGCCCCAAAGCACAGAAUCAAAUCAAAUUUUAUUUGUCACAUACACAUGGUUAGCAGAUGUUAAUGCGAGUGUAGCGAAAUGCGUGUGCUUCUAGUUCCGACCAUGCAGUAAUAUCUAACAAGUAAUCUAACCUAACAAUUUCACAACAACUACCUUAUACACACAAGUUUAAAGGAAUGAAUAAAAUAUAUGAAUGAGCGAUGGCCGAACGGCAUAGGCAAGAUGCAGUAGAUGGUAUAGAGUACAGUAUAUACAUAUGAGAUGAGCAAUAUAGGUUACGUAAACAUUAUAUAGAGUGGCAUUGUUUAAAGUGACUAGUGAUACAUUUAUUACAUACAUUUUUUCAUUAUUAAAGUGGCUAGAGAUGAGUCAGUAUGUUGGCAGCAGCCACUCAAUGUUAGUGAUGGCUGUUUAACAGUCUGAUGGCCUUGAGAUAGAAGCUGUUUUUCAGUCUCACGGUUCCAGCUUUGAUGCACCUGUACUGACCUCGCCUUCUGGAUGAUAGCAGCGUGAACAGGCAGUGGCUCGGGUGGUUGUUGUCCUUGAUGAUCUUUUUGGCCUUCCUGUGACAUUGGUUGCUGUAGGUGUCCUGGAGGGCAGUUAGUUUGCCCUUGGUGAUGCGUUGUGCAGACCUCACUACCCUCUGGAGAGCCUUACGGUUGUGGGCGGAGCAGUUGCCGUACCAGGCGGUGAUACAGCCCAAAUGGAUGCUCUCGAUUGUGCAUCCAUAAAAGUUUGUGAGUGUUUUUGGUGACGAGCCGAAUUUCUUCAGCCUCCUGAGGUUGAAGAGGCGCUGCUGCGCCUUCUUCACCACGCUGUCUGUGUGGGUGGACCAUUUCAGUUUGUCCGUGAUGUGUACGCCAAGGAACUUAAAACUUUCCACCUUCUCCACUACUGUCCCGUCGAUGUGGAUAGGGGGCUGCUCCCUCUGCUGUUUCCUGAUGUCCACGAUCAUCUCCUUUGUUUUGUUGACAUUGAGUGUGAGGUUAUUUUCCUGACACCACACUCCGAGGGCCCUCACCUCCUCCCUGUAGGCUGUCUCGUUGUUGUUGGUAAUCAAGC